GGGUUGUGAGGUUAAGCGACUAAGCGUACACGGUGGAUGCCCUGGCAGUCAGAGGCGAUGAAGGACGUGCUAAUCUGCGAUAAGCGUCGGUAAGGUGAUAUGAACCGUUAUAACCGGCGAUUUCCGAAUGGGGAAACCCAGUGUGAUUCGUCACACUAUCAUUAACUGAAUCCAUAGGUUAAUGAGGCGAACCGGGGGAACUGAAACAUCUAAGUACCCCGAGGAAAAGAAAUCAACCGAGAUUCCCCCAGUAGCGGCGAGCGAACGGGGAGCAGCCCAGAGCCUGAAUCAGUGUGUGUGUUAGUGGAAGCGUCUGGAAAGGCGCGCGAUACAGGGUGACAGCCCCGUACACAAAAAUGCACAUACUGUGAGCUCGAUGAGUAGGGCGGGACACGUGGUAUCCUGUCUGAAUAUGGGGGGACCAUCCUCCAAGGCUAAAUACUCCUGACUGACCGAUAGUGAACCAGUACCGUGAGGGAAAGGCGAAAAGAACCCCGGCGAGGGGAGUGAAAAAGAACCUGAAACCGUGUACGUACAAGCAGUGGGAGCACGCUUAGGCGUGUGACUGCGUACCUUUUGUAUAAUGGGUCAGCGACUUAUAUUCUGUAGCAAGGUUAACCGAAUAGGGGAGCCGAAGGGAAACCGAGUCUUAACUGGGCGUUAAGUUGCAGGGUAUAGACCCGAAACCCGGUGAUCUAGCCAUGGGCAGGUUGAAGGUUGGGUAACACUAACUGGAGGACCGAACCGACUAAUGUUGAAAAAUUAGCGGAUGACUUGUGGCUGGGGGUGAAAGGCCAAUCAAACCGGGAGAUAGCUGGUUCUCCCCGAAAGCUAUUUAGGUAGCGCCUCGUGAAUUCAUCUCCGGGGGUAGAGCACUGUUUCGGCAAGGGGGUCAUCCCGACUUACCAACCCGAUGCAAACUGCGAAUACCGGAGAAUGUUAUCACGGGAGACACACGGCGGGUGCUAACGUCCGUCGUGAAGAGGGAAACAACCCAGACCGCCAGCUAAGGUCCCAAAGUCAUGGUUAAGUGGGAAACGAUGUGGGAAGGCCCAGACAGCCAGGAUGUUGGCUUAGAAGCAGCCAUCAUUUAAAGAAAGCGUAAUAGCUCACUGGUCGAGUCGGCCUGCGCGGAAGAUGUAACGGGGCUAAACCAUGCACCGAAGCUGCGGCAGCGACGCUGAUGCGUUGUUGGGUAGGGGAGCGUUCUGUAAGCCUGCGAAGGUGUGCUGUGAGGCAUGCUGGAGGUAUCAGAAGUGCGAAUGCUGACAUAAGUAACGAUAAAGCGGGUGAAAAUCCCGCUCGCCGGAAGACCAAGGGUUCCUGUCCAACGUUAAUCGGGGCAGGGUGAGUCGACCCCUAAGGCGAGGCCGAAAGGCGUAGUCGAUGGGAAACAGGUUAAUAUUCCUGUACUUGGUGUUACUGCGAAGGGGGGACGGAGAAGGCUAUGUUGGCCGGGCGACGGUUGUCCCGGUUUAAGCGUGUAGGCUGGUUUUCCAGGCAAAUCCGGAAAAUCAAGGCUGAGGCGUGAUGACGAGGCACUACGGUGCUGAAGCAACAAAUGCCCUGCUUCCAGGAAAAGCCUCUAAGCAUCAGGUAACAUCAAAUCGUACCCCAAACCGACACAGGUGGUCAGGUAGAGAAUACCAAGGCGCUUGAGAGAACUCGGGUGAAGGAACUAGGCAAAAUGGUGCCGUAACUUCGGGAGAAGGCACGCUGAUAUGUAGGUGAAGUCCCUCGCGGAUGGAGCUGAAAUCAGUCGAAGAUACCAGCUGGCUGCAACUGUUUAUUAAAAACACAGCACUGUGCAAACACGAAAGUGGACGUAUACGGUGUGACGCCUGCCCGGUGCCGGAAGGUUAAUUGAUGGGGUCAGCGCAAGCGAAGCUCUUGAUCGAAGCCCCGGUAAACGGCGGCCGUAACUAUAACGGUCCUAAGGUAGCGAAAUUCCUUGUCGGGUAAGUUCCGACCUGCACGAAUGGCGUAAUGAUGGCCAGGCUGUCUCCACCCGAGACUCAGUGAAAUUGAACUCGCUGUGAAGAUGCAGUGUACCCGCGGCAAGACGGAAAGACCCCGUGAACCUUUACUAUAGCUUGACACUGAACAUUGAGCCUUGAUGUGUAGGAUAGGUGGGAGGCUUUGAAGUGUGGACGCCAGUCUGCAUGGAGCCGACCUUGAAAUACCACCCUUUAAUGUUUGAUGUUCUAACGUUGACCCGUGAUCCGGGUUGCGGACAGUGUCUGGUGGGUAGUUUGACUGGGGCGGUCUCCUCCUAAAGAGUAACGGAGGAGCACGAAGGUUGGCUAAUCCUGGUCGGACAUCAGGAGGUUAGUGCAAUGGCAUAAGCCAGCUUGACUGCGAGCGUGACGGCGCGAGCAGGUGCGAAAGCAGGUCAUAGUGAUCCGGUGGUUCUGAAUGGAAGGGCCAUCGCUCAACGGAUAAAAGGUACUCCGGGGAUAACAGGCUGAUACCGCCCAAGAGUUCAUAUCGACGGCGGUGUUUGGCACCUCGAUGUCGGCUCAUCACAUCCUGGGGCUGAAGUAGGUCCCAAGGGUAUGGCUGUUCGCCAUUUAAAGUGGUACGCGAGCUGGGUUUAGAACGUCGUGAGACAGUUCGGUCCCUAUCUGCCGUGGGCGCUGGAGAACUGAGGGGGGCUGCUCCUAGUACGAGAGGACCGGAGUGGACGCAUCACUGGUGUUCGGGUUGUCAUGCCAAUGGCACUGCCCGGUAGCUAAAUGCGGAAGAGAUAAGUGCUGAAAGCAUCUAAGCACGAAACUUGCCCCGAGAUGAGUUCUCCCUGACUCCUUGAGAGUCCUGAAGGAACGUUGAAGACGACGACGUUGAUAGGCCGGGUGUGUAAGCGCAGCGAUGCGUUGAGCUAACCGGUACUAAUGAACCGUGAGGCUUAACCUUACAACGCCGAAGCUGUU
Molecule: ribosomal RNA, 2930 nt
Filed under: Escherichia coli O121:H19
Lineage: Bacteria; Pseudomonadati; Pseudomonadota; Gammaproteobacteria; Enterobacterales; Enterobacteriaceae
Also listed under: 2 other names
Description: 23S ribosomal RNA
Rfam family: Bacterial large subunit ribosomal RNA
Source: RNAcentral